Molecule: ribosomal RNA, 264 nt
Filed under: uncultured archaeon
Lineage: Archaea
Description: partial 16S ribosomal RNA
Rfam family: Archaeal small subunit ribosomal RNA
Source: RNAcentral
CACGCCGUAAACUAAUGCGCGUUAGGUGUAUCGGUGACCACGAGUUACCGAGGUGCCGAAGGGAAACCGUGAAACGUGCCGCCUGGGAAGUACGGUCGCAAGGCUGAAACUUAAAGGAAUUGGCGGGGGAGGCACCACAACAGGUGGAGCCUGCGGUUUAAUUGGACUCAACGCCGGGAAGCUCACCGGAUAGGACAGCAGAAUGAUUGCCGGGCUGAAGACCCUGCAUGACUAGCUGAGAGGUGGUGCAUGGCGUCAGUGACU